AGUUGGUGGAGUGAUUUGUCUGGUUAAUUCCGUUAACGAACGAGACCCCCGCCUGCUAAAUAGUACUGGGAAUGCUUAGCAUUGCCAGAGACUUCUUAGAGGGACUUUCGGCGCUAGGCCGAAGGAAGUUGGGGGCAAUAACAGGU
Molecule: ribosomal RNA, 146 nt
Filed under: Ochrophyta sp.
Lineage: Eukaryota
Description: partial small subunit ribosomal RNA
Rfam family: Eukaryotic small subunit ribosomal RNA
Source: RNAcentral